RNAcentral lists this transfer RNA (98 nucleotides) under Serratia fonticola. Its description in RNAcentral is "tRNA-???(tgca)". Lineage: Bacteria; Pseudomonadati; Pseudomonadota; Gammaproteobacteria; Enterobacterales; Yersiniaceae. The record is from RNAcentral.
UGGAGUGCUGGCCAGCGUGGGGAUUAAGAGGUUUGCAAACCUCCUGGUACCCGGUCCAAAAAGUGCAGUCGUCGGUUCGAAUCCGACCACCUCAACCA